Non-coding RNA from Styela clava, 594 nucleotides. NCBI's taxonomy places the organism in Eukaryota, Metazoa, Chordata, Ascidiacea, Stolidobranchia, Styelidae. The record is from RefSeq and is a predicted model, not a curated record.
AGUAGAGAAAAUAUUAGAAUGGAAGGGAAGAGAAAUGAAACUGAAUCAUCCGUCGUACGUAAUCAUUUCAUCGGAUAUUUACUUGGAGUGUUUUUGAGAUAUUCAUCUUACAGUGCGAUAUUAAAUCUACAGUCAAGUAUUAAUAUAGCAGAUGGAUUAGGCACGAUUUCUUUGUCUACAUCAUACAUAUCAUGCAAUAUAUUUCUCGUAUUUUUCACCACAAUACUUUUGAGAAAAUUUGGAGCGAAGAAAUGUUUGAUAGCAAGUGAAGUUACCUAAAUAAUUUACUUUCUUGCUAAUCUCUAUCCCGAAUUUUACACACUGAUACCAGCAGCGAUUCUAGUUGGAGCUGGUGAAGCAACGAUAUGGUUAUCAAUGACAUUGAUCAAUUUCUGUUUUGCCACAAAAUAUGCGACUCUGAAAAAACACAAAUAUAAAGAAAACGAAUUCUUCGUCAAUCUUUACUCGGGAUAUUUUUUCACUUGUAUUCAGUUUUGCCAGAAUUGUCAUACACGAGUUCAGGAUGAUAUCACCAAACAGUGUGGAAUACUGCUACAUCAAGUCAUCAAACCAUUACUGGGAUCCCACGUUUAC